UACGUAGGCAGCAAGCGUUGUUCGGAAUUACUGGGCGUAAAGAGUGCGUAGGCGGUGCUCUAAGUCUGUUGUGAAAUCUCCCGGCUUAACUGGGAGGGUGCGGCGGAAACUGGAGUGCUUGAGGGUGGGAGAGGUAAGCGGAAUUCCUGGUGUAGCGGUGAAAUGCGUAGAUAUCAGGAGGAACACCGGUGGUGUAGACGGCUUUCUGGACCGUAACUGACGCUGAGACACGAAAGCGUGGGUAGCAAACAGG
RNAcentral lists this ribosomal RNA (253 nucleotides) under uncultured bacterium. RNAcentral's name for it is "partial 16S ribosomal RNA". It matches the Rfam family "Bacterial small subunit ribosomal RNA", at positions 524 to 776 of the family's 1533-position model. The record is from RNAcentral.